RNAcentral lists this ribosomal RNA (460 nucleotides) under uncultured bacterium. Its description in RNAcentral is "partial 16S ribosomal RNA". It matches the Rfam family "Bacterial small subunit ribosomal RNA", at positions 338 to 795 of the family's 1533-position model. The record is from RNAcentral.
CCUACGGGAGGCAGCAGUGAGGAAUAUUGGUCAAUGGACGCGAGCCUGAACCAGCCAAGUAGCGUGAAGGAUGACUGCCCUACGGGUUGUAAACUUCUUUUAUAAAGGAAUAAAGUGAGGCACGUGUGUCUUUUUGUAUGUAUCUUAUGAAUAAGGAUCGGCUAACUCCGUGCCAGCAGCCGCGGUAAUACGGAGGAUCCGAGCGUUAUCCGGAUUUAUUGGGUUUAAAGGGUGCGUAGGUGGUUUGUUAAGUCAGAUGUGAAAGUUCGCGGCUCAACCGUGGAAUUGCAAUUGAUACUGGCAGGCUUGAGUGCAGUUGAGGUAGGCGGAAUUCGUGGUGUAGCGGUGAAAUGCUUAGAGAUCACAAAGAACUCCGAUUGCGAAGGCAGCUUACUAAACUGCCACUGACGUUGAUGCUCGAAAGUGUGGGUAUCAAACAGGAUUAGAUACCCUGGUAGUC